Molecule: long non-coding RNA, 298 nt
Filed under: Volvox carteri
Lineage: Eukaryota; Viridiplantae; Chlorophyta; Chlorophyceae; Chlamydomonadales; Volvocaceae
Description: long non-coding RNA (VCAR_LNC003069)
Source: RNAcentral
UGACGUGUGUGCUGUACUGUACGAUAGCUAUUACAGGGGGUAGGUAAGCAGUUGCGCAGCAGUAGCAGUAGUAGUAGUUGCGACAUUCGUAAGAUCGAUCGAGUUGGCGAGUUGGAUGAGUGUUGGGUAAUAAGAUGAUCGUUGUGCUGUAAUUGGUGCAGACAGCGGCGAGGGGGCUGCCCCGGGGGGUAGCUGUGGGUUAUAGUGCCUGGGUGCACAUAAUACAACAUUAGCACUGGAAUUGUUGAUCUUAGGCUUUUGGGGGUUUGCGUCUUCGGCAAAGCUUCGCAGGCAGUAC